AGCGAACGCUGGCGGCAGGCCUAACACAUGCAAGUCGAACGGACCCUUCGGGGUUAGUGGCGGACGGGUGAGUAACACGUGGGAACGUGCCUUUAGGUUCGGAAUAGCUCCUGGAAACGGGUGGUAAUGCCGAAUGUGCCCUUCGGGGGAAAGAUUUAUCGCCUUUAGAGCGGCCCGCGUCUGAUUAGCUAGUUGGUGAGGUAACGGCUCACCAAGGCGACGAUCAGUAGCUGGUCUGAGAGGAUGACCAGCCACACUGGGACUGAGACACGGCCCAGACUCCUACGGGAGGCAGCAGUGGGGAAUCUUGCGCAAUGGGCGAAAGCCUGACGCAGCCAUGCCGCGUGAAUGAUGAAGGUCUUAGGAUUGUAAAAUUCUUUCACCGGGGACGAUAAUGACGGUACUCGGAGAAGAAGCCCCGGCUAACUUCGUG
This 433-nucleotide ribosomal RNA is filed under the name uncultured bacterium. Its description in RNAcentral is "partial 16S ribosomal RNA". It matches the Rfam family "Bacterial small subunit ribosomal RNA", at positions 29 to 507 of the family's 1533-position model. The record is from RNAcentral.